CAAUUUUUUUGUCAUCUCUCUCUCUCAUUUUUAUACUGAUCAUGAUAAUCUGACAUGGAAUUUAUUUUCUCAUGUUAGAUUAUCUCCAACCAAACGAACCCUAAGGAUUUGUUUGUUUCAUGGGGAGUGAAGGAGAGAAAAUGGCAAUUCAUGAUAAGUGGAGGAGAAUCCUCUUAUUUGAUUGGAGUUUUAUGAGAAGAGAGAAUAUAAAAAACUCUUUCUAUAAAAAAUUACUUCAUACAUUUCAUGGGAAGUAUAAACUU
Molecule: long non-coding RNA, 263 nt
Filed under: Elaeis guineensis (African oil palm)
Lineage: Eukaryota; Viridiplantae; Streptophyta; Magnoliopsida; Arecales; Arecaceae
Description: long non-coding RNA (EGUI_LNC031976)
Source: RNAcentral